UCAAAUAAUAAUAAUAAUAUUAAUAAUAACAGUUACCAAUAUAACUGAGCUAAGCAGGGUUGAGCCUGUUCAGUACCUGGAUGGGAGACCUCCUGGGAAAACUAGGUUGCUGUUGGAA
RNAcentral lists this ribosomal RNA (118 nucleotides) under Sinocyclocheilus anshuiensis. Lineage: Eukaryota; Metazoa; Chordata; Actinopteri; Cypriniformes; Cyprinidae. The record is from RNAcentral.